GGCACUUUGGCCGAGUGGUUAAGGCGUUCGCCUGCUAAGCGAAUCUCUUCGGAGGCGUGAGUUCGAAUCUCACAGGUGUCG
This 81-nucleotide transfer RNA is filed under the name Opeltia flavorubescens. Its description in RNAcentral is "tRNA-Ser (GCT) (tRNA-Ser-GCT-1-1)". It matches the Rfam family "tRNA". From Rfam's summary of the family: Transfer RNA (tRNA) molecules are approximately 80 nucleotides in length. Their secondary structure includes four short double-helical elements and three loops (D, anti-codon, and T loops). The record is from RNAcentral. Lineage: Eukaryota; Fungi; Ascomycota; Lecanoromycetes; Teloschistales; Teloschistaceae.